AUACGUAGGUGACAAGCGUUAUCCGGAUUUACUGGGCGUAAAGGGCGUGUAGGCGGUCUUGCAAGUCAGAAGUGAAAUUCCUGAGCUCAACUCGGGCGCUGCUUCUGAAACUGCAGGACUUGAGUGCUGGAGGGGAUAGCGGAAUUCCUAGUGGAGCGGUAAAAUGCGCAGAUAUUAGGAAGAACACCGGUGGCGAAGGCGGCUAUCUGGACAGUAACUGACGCUGAGGCGCGAAAGCGUGGGGAGCAAACAGGAUUAGAUACCCUAGUAGUCCACGCUGUAAACGAUGACAACUAAAUAUUGCCGCGAGGCAGUGUUGAAGCUAACGCAUUAAGUUGUCCGCCUGGGGAGUACGGUCGCAAGACUGAAACUUAAAGGAAUUGACGGGG
Molecule: ribosomal RNA, 389 nt
Filed under: uncultured bacterium
Lineage: Bacteria
Description: partial 16S ribosomal RNA
Rfam family: Bacterial small subunit ribosomal RNA
Source: RNAcentral